This 253-nucleotide ribosomal RNA is filed under the name uncultured bacterium. RNAcentral's name for it is "partial 16S ribosomal RNA". It matches the Rfam family "Bacterial small subunit ribosomal RNA", at positions 524 to 776 of the family's 1533-position model. The record is from RNAcentral.
UACGAAGGGUGCAAACGUUGCUCGGAGUUAUUGGGCGUAAAGCGCACGUAGGCGGCUUAGCAAGUCGGAUGUGAAAUCCCUCGGCUCAACCAAGGAAGUGCAUCCGAAACUGCUGAGCUUGAGUACGAAAGAGGAUCGCGGAAUUCCCGGUGUAGAGGUGAAAUUCGUAGAUAUCGGGAGGAACACCAGUGGCGAAGGCGGCGAUCUGGGUCGAUACUGACGCUGAGGUGCGAAAGCUAGGGGAGCGAACGGG